GUGAAUCAUCAAAUUUUUGAACGCAAAUUGCACUUCCUGGUAUUCCGCGGAGUAUGCCUGUUUGAGGGUCAUUAGAACUAAAGUCGAAGCUACUCUCUUUUUUUAAAGGGUGAUCGUGUCAGAAUUGAUCCGUCUUUCAUAUGUUAAUUCUUGUCCAAUUGGCUUGAAAUUCAUCCAUCAG
RNAcentral lists this unclassified non-coding RNA (181 nucleotides) under Glomeromycetes sp. RNAcentral describes it as "partial contains 5.8S ribosomal RNA and internal transcribed spacer 2". The stretch from base 1 to 71 matches the Rfam family "5.8S ribosomal RNA", at positions 84 to 154 of the family's 154-position model. Lineage: Eukaryota; Fungi; Glomeromycota; Glomeromycetes. The record is from RNAcentral.